GACGAACCGUCCAAACGUUAUUCGGAAUCACUGGGCUUACAGAGUUCGUAGGCGGUCUGGAAAGUUGGGUGUGAAAUCCCUCGGCCUAACCGAGGAACUGCGCUUGAAACUACCAGACUCGAGGGAGAUAGAGGAAAGCGGAACUGAUGGUGGAGCGGUGAAAUGCGUUGAUAUCAUCAGGAACACCGGUGGCGAAAGGCGGCUUUCUGGGUCUUACCUGACGCUGAGGAACGGAAAGCCAGGGGAGACGAACGGG
This 256-nucleotide ribosomal RNA is filed under the name uncultured bacterium. RNAcentral describes it as "partial 16S ribosomal RNA". It matches the Rfam family "Bacterial small subunit ribosomal RNA", at positions 524 to 776 of the family's 1533-position model. The record is from RNAcentral.